RNAcentral lists this microRNA precursor (97 nucleotides) under Nicotiana sylvestris (wood tobacco). RNAcentral describes it as "MIR6152 microRNA precursor family". It matches the Rfam family "MIR6152 microRNA precursor family". Lineage: Eukaryota; Viridiplantae; Streptophyta; Magnoliopsida; Solanales; Solanaceae. The record is from Rfam by way of RNAcentral.
UGGAUAGAUUAUUGUAUUCGACUGUAUUCACGGCGUGAAACAGGGGAUUACACUGUUUUUAAAACGGAAAGUGAAUCAAUUAACAUAAUAGACUCCU